UCCUCAAUAGCUCAAUUGGUUAGAGCAUAUAGCUGUUAACUAUAAGGUUUAUCGGUUCAAGUCCGGUUUGGGGAG
This 75-nucleotide transfer RNA is filed under the name Leucocryptos marina. RNAcentral describes it as "tRNA-Asn". It matches the Rfam family "tRNA". From Rfam's summary of the family: Transfer RNA (tRNA) molecules are approximately 80 nucleotides in length. Their secondary structure includes four short double-helical elements and three loops (D, anti-codon, and T loops). Lineage: Eukaryota; Cryptophyceae; Kathablepharidacea; Katablepharidaceae. The record is from RNAcentral.